RNAcentral lists this ribosomal RNA (96 nucleotides) under Streptococcus pneumoniae GA13455. The record is from RNAcentral. Lineage: Bacteria; Bacillati; Bacillota; Bacilli; Lactobacillales; Streptococcaceae.
GUGACGAUAGCCUAGGAGAUACACCUGUACCCAUGCCGAACACAGAAGUUAAGCCCUAGAACGCCGGAAGUAGUUGGGGGUUGCCCCCUGUGAGAU